This 749-nucleotide long non-coding RNA is filed under the name Pan troglodytes (chimpanzee). RNAcentral describes it as "long non-coding RNA NONPTRT018573". The record is from RNAcentral. Lineage: Eukaryota; Metazoa; Chordata; Mammalia; Primates; Hominidae.
AUUUUAUUAGGAAGGAAACAACCAAGCACCCCAUGCUCCUGCCAGGCCACAGAAAUAAACCCGUGUACUGCUUAUUGUUAGCACAACAUCACCAGAAAACGAUAACGACAGCCAAGCAGGACAGACAGUUAAGUAGUACUUCUACACCCCCAAACUCAGGGAGCCCUAUAACCUUAAAGAGGGAGCAUUUGCUACACAAAAGCACUAUCCACAGCCAGGGAUGAUGUAGACACAAGAAUAAAUAAGGAGAAAGGAGACCCUAGAAUUCAUGUCCCUUACGCCUCACAGCGACGAAGCCUGGGAAGCUGGUUGGUCUAGCAUCUACGCAGAAUAUGUACACCUUGUUGGGAGAGAUGGGGGCAGCCCAAAAAAGCUCCUCAGCGGGCUGAAGAGGGAGCAAGAUGGGCUGAGGGGAGCUUGGAGUUCAUGCUGCAGUAGGAAGAGGGAAGCUCUUCAGUCCAGUGCGCUGCAGGGUGGGAAAGCAACAACACGGACACCGUCCCACCCUCAACCCCCCCACUGGCACAGGGUCACACAAUCUGGGUCAAAGAAAUAGUGGGGCCCUUGUGGUCAUCAAAGCGAUCCAUGGUCUUGAGGCUGAGGAUCAUGUGCAGGCCAUAGGUGAAGAUGAAGAGCAUGAACAGGGAGGUGAGCAGCCCCAUCCAGAUGCCGGGGGAGAAGAAGCUGGCACAGUCGCUGGCGUAGGAGAACUGCUCCCCCGUUACGUUGAAAGCCUGGAUCUGGCAGAC